RNAcentral lists this long non-coding RNA (2513 nucleotides) under Triticum aestivum (bread wheat). RNAcentral describes it as "long non-coding RNA (TAES_LNC021366)". Lineage: Eukaryota; Viridiplantae; Streptophyta; Magnoliopsida; Poales; Poaceae. The record is from RNAcentral.
UGGAUUAAAAUAUGCAAGUUCACAUCAUGAUAGCCAACUUUCACUACAACUCUCUUUCAAAUUGUUUGUCCUGUGAUGUGGCAAAGAUAUUCUCAUACGCUUGCAAGGAUCAUAAACCACCAUGAUUUCCCAUCAUCGAUUAAAAAGUUCCUCUACAGUAUUUGGUCAUCCUGUGCACAAAUCAUAUAUAUGUAAAUCUCAAAUGAAUGAUUGAGAUGGAACUAUAACAUCAAAACUAUAAUUGUCGAAUGAUUGAUAAUGUGAAUCGCACAAUCAGAAUAACAAAGGAGAUAAAAAAAACAUUCGACACUCGAUACCCUUUAGGUACAAAUGCCACCCGCUCAUCACCCAAGUUCACAAGAACAGCUCCAAUGUGUGACCAAACGCGACUCGGCUCCAGCCUGCAGGCAUCCAAAGUGAGAUGGUGUGACAGCUUCAUGUUGCGGAAAGUAGUGGCUACUCUCGGGUGUAGUACACCCGAGUUAGCAAAAGAUUGAAAAAAUGUGAUCAAACAUUGUCCAAAAAAUCUAAACUUUUGGGACAUAAAACAUUAUCAGAUGUGUGAGGUCCUUGCAAAAUUUCAUCUAAAUAUAACAUCUGAGGAGCUCUCACCAAAAAUAACAAAAUCACUGCUCAAACAGUGCACAAAACUUUCAGCAGCGAUUUUGUUUUUUUCGGUGAGAGCUCCUCGGAUGUUAUUUUUCGAUGAAACUUGACACGAACCUCAAACAUAUGAUAAAGUUUGAUGUAGCAAAAUUUCAGAUUUUUUGGAUUUCGUUUGAUAAACUUUUUUCAAAGUUUUUGCUAACUCGGGUGUAGUACACCCGAGAGUAGAAAAUCCAGUCUCUUCAUGUUGCUGUAACUCUUCAUAGUAUACAACAAAAUCUGAUUCAAGCUUAACCACAACAAUAGAAAACAAUUGCUAGACAAAAUAUAUCUUUUGCAUAACCAGCAGGCACACCUCAAAUUACCCAACUUUAAUCAAAGUGAUAUAUAUGGUUCACGCUCAGCUCCCAUAGCCAUUCUUGUGCAGAAGAAUGUUGGGCACAUCACCUGGAAGGCACGGACAUGCAUGACUCACGGUAGUCUUGGUAUAUCAGUUUUUAAUACUUUUGCAUAUAAACAUCUUACUACAGUAAAGUGUGCUACCAAGUUAUAUUUGUAUAGCUACAGAGGUUUCCGGUAUACCUGAAUAUUUGCUUGGCCAUUAGCAUGUUUAGAUGACGGAACAUCUUCAGUUAACUGUGCUAAGUCAUGCUGAAAAAAAAUUACAGGGAUCCUGAAGGGAAGAACACUGAAUAUGUCGAAGAUAAGAACACUGAAGACUUGGAAAAUUUCCUAUGAUACAAAGUAUUGUCCCAGGUUACAUUGUCCAUCUUGGUCAGAUCCAGAAAAAACUUCACCAUCAUAGAAGUGUUUACUAUAAAAUUUAAUUGUAUAUUAUGAAAAAUAUUCAUGUGCACACAAUCGCCUAUACAAACCGGGGACUUCCUUCGCCAUAAGAACACUGAAGACAACGAAGAAACUGACUCCAAUGCUGAAACUAUUUCAGGGUCAUUACAAAAAGGAAGAAAAGACUUGGAAAAAAAUAUUAGUGAUUCGCACAAGGAGAUGUGGAAACAGUAGCACACCUUCUGUUACACUUAAGUGCGCAGCAAACUGCUUCUGAUAGAAUAUUGACAAAUAUGCAGGCAUGUGCGUGCACCAUGCUUGUUGUGCAGCAAAUCCUAAUAAGAAUUAUCGGUGGUAUAAUCCUAUGCUACCUAGACAAAAUGAGGAGCAAAAUAAUAAUAUUAAAAAAUUGUCUCGCACUGAAACAAAAAUCAAUAGCUCACCCAAGAAUGCUACCUGAAUAUGAGCAUCUAAAUCAUGUUCAUGCUUAACUACAAAAAGGAUAAUGCCAAGGAGGCGGAGAUGCAAGAUAAAUUAACAACAUCGGCAGUGAGUUGUGAAAGAAAGCCCUAGUGGAUAACAUCACCAAUUACUUGUUUAUAGUUUGGAUCCUUUCCAAUGUAGACAUUAGCAAUAAUUUUCUAUGAUACCGUGCAUAUAGGCUAAUAAUUAAAAUGCAAAAUGUCAAGAUUUGGAAAGUAAAAGGAAUCUAAUUAGAGUUUUCUGCGAGAGGAUUGUUACCAAUCAAACAAUCAGGAGUAUCGUGUUUUGGGUGCAUCUCUGUUAGCAAGUGCAGACUCAAGAUCGAGUGUUGCAGAAAUGAUUUCUUCAGUAAUAUCAGUGCCUUCUCAAAUUACAGCAAUCACACCUGCAAGAAAUUUAGCAGUAAGCAUGUUGGUUUCUAGCCACACUGAACAUAUAGAAACACAACACCAUACUGAUUCCUUUGGAGUUGUUGCCUCUGCAGCUUUAUGUGCUCCCUUUCAGUGGUUCAACCUGGACAGGAUUUGAACAAAUGUCAGUGUUAAAUCUAGCAAAAAACCGAAACAAAAAAAGAUCAUAUAUGGAUGAACAAAGGCGUGGAAUAUAUGAACACAGAGAGACUGAAAUAGAGAGAGGGC